UGCCAUCAGCCGCGGUAAUACGGGGGGCGCAAGCGUUGUUCGGAAUUACUGGGCGUAAAGGGCAGGUAGGUGGCUUGUUAAGUCGUCUGUGAAAAUCCGGGGCUCAACCCCGCGAAAUGCAGGCGAAACUGGCAGACUAGAGACCGGUAGAGGCUAGUGGAAUUCCUGGUGUAGCGGUGGAAUGCGUAGAUAUCAGGAAGAACACCGGUGGCGAAGGCGGCUAGCUGGGCCGGAUCUGACACUGAACUGCGAAAGCGUGGGGAGCAAACAGGAUUAGAUA
This 280-nucleotide ribosomal RNA is filed under the name uncultured bacterium. RNAcentral's name for it is "partial 16S ribosomal RNA". It matches the Rfam family "Bacterial small subunit ribosomal RNA", at positions 506 to 784 of the family's 1533-position model. The record is from RNAcentral.